AUUGAACGCUGGCGGAAUGCUGUACACAUGCAAGUCGAACGGCAGCACGGACUUCGGUCUGGUGGCGAGUGGCGAACGGGUGAGUAAUGUAUCGGAACGUGCCCAGUCGUGGGGGAUAACGUAGUGAAAAUUACGCUAAUACCGCAUACGAUCUAUGGAUGAAAGCGGGGGAUCGCACGACCUCGCGCGAUUGGAGCGGCCGAUAUCAGAUUAGGGAGUUGGUGGGGUAAAGGCCCACCAAGCCAACGAUCUGUAGCUGGUCUGAGAGGACGACCAGCCACACUGGAACUGAGACACGGUCCAGACUCCUACGGGAGGCAGCAGUGGGGAAUUUUGGACAAUGGGCGAAAGCCUGAUCCAGCCAUUCCGCGUGCAGGAUGAAGGCCCUCGGGUUGUAAACUGCUUUUGUACAGAACGAAAAGGUUUCUACUAAUACUAGGAGCUCAUGACGGUACUGUAAGAAUAAGCACCGGCUAACUACGUGCCAGCCGCCGCGGUAA
RNAcentral lists this ribosomal RNA (500 nucleotides) under uncultured bacterium. RNAcentral describes it as "partial 16S ribosomal RNA". It matches the Rfam family "Bacterial small subunit ribosomal RNA", at positions 30 to 523 of the family's 1533-position model. The record is from RNAcentral.